AUUGAACGCUGGCGGCAGGCCUAACACAUGCAAGUCGAGCGGAUGAGUGGAGCUUGCUCCAUGAUUCAGCGGCGGACGGGUGAGUAAUGCCUAGGAAUCUGCCUGGUAGUGGGGGACAACGUUUCGAAAGGAACGCUAAUACCGCAUACGUCCUACGGGAGAAAGCAGGGGACCUUCGGGCCUUGCGCUAUCAGAUGAGCCUAGGUCGGAUUAGCUAGUAGGUGGGUAAUGGCCCACCUAGGCGACGAUCCGUAACUGGUCUGAGAGGAUGAUCAGUCACACUGGAACUGAGACACGGUCCAGACUCCUACGGGAGGCAGCAGUGGGGAAUAUUGGACAAUGGGCGAAAGCCUGAUCCAGCCAUGCCGCGUGUGUGAAGAAGGUCUUCGGAUUGUAAAGCACUUUAAGUUGGGAGGAAGGGCAGUAAGUUAAUACCUUGCUGUUUUGACGUUACCAACAGAAUAAGCACCGGCUAACUUCGUGCCAGCCGCCGCAGUAA
Molecule: ribosomal RNA, 499 nt
Filed under: uncultured bacterium
Lineage: Bacteria
Description: partial 16S ribosomal RNA
Rfam family: Bacterial small subunit ribosomal RNA
Source: RNAcentral